RNAcentral lists this ribosomal RNA (253 nucleotides) under uncultured bacterium. RNAcentral describes it as "partial 16S ribosomal RNA". It matches the Rfam family "Bacterial small subunit ribosomal RNA", at positions 524 to 776 of the family's 1533-position model. The record is from RNAcentral.
UACGGAGGGUGCGAGCGUUGUCCGGAAUCAUUGGGCGUAAAGGGCGCGUAGGUGGCCCGGUCAGUCAGUGGUGAAAGCGCGGGGCUCAACUCCGCGUCGGCCAUUGAUACUGCUGGGCUUGAGCACUGUAGAGGCAGGCGGAAUUCCGGGUGUAGCGGUGGAAUGCGUAGAGAUCCGGAAGAACACCGGUGGCGAAGGCGGCCUGCUGGGCAGUGGCUGACACUGAGGCGCGACAGCGUGGGGAGCAAACAGG